AUCCAACUGACGAGUCCCAAAUGGGACGAGACGCAUGUCCUGGAU
Molecule: non-coding RNA, 45 nt
Organism: Schistosoma curassoni
Lineage: Eukaryota; Metazoa; Platyhelminthes; Trematoda; Strigeidida; Schistosomatidae
Source: Rfam